CCUACGGGAGGCAGCAGUGGGGAAUAUUGCACAAUGGGCGCAAGCCUGAUGCAGCCAUGCCGCGUGUAUGAAGAAGGCCUUCGGGUUGUAAAGUACUUUCAGCGGGGAGGAAGGUGUUGCGGUUAAUAACCGCAGCAAUUGACGUUACCCGCAGAAGAAGCACCGGCUAACUCCGUGCCAGCAGCCGCGGUAAU
This 194-nucleotide ribosomal RNA is filed under the name uncultured bacterium. RNAcentral describes it as "partial 16S ribosomal RNA". It matches the Rfam family "Bacterial small subunit ribosomal RNA", at positions 338 to 524 of the family's 1533-position model. The record is from RNAcentral.